AACCCACGAUAUACCUUACCCGCCUUUGCCAAACCAGCCUAUAUACCUCCGUCGCCAGUCCGCCUGUCAACAGCCACCAAAGCGCGUACAACAGUUUUUAACUAACACGACAGGUCAAGGUGUAGCUAAUAGGCCGGCAAGUGGUGGGCUACAUUUUCUUUACAAGAAAACACCAACGGGCCAUGAAAACCGCACAAAAAGUCGGAUUUAGCAGUAAGGUGGGCCAGCAAGCCCAUCUGAAG
RNAcentral lists this ribosomal RNA (242 nucleotides) under Uroplatus finaritra. Its description in RNAcentral is "partial small subunit ribosomal RNA". The record is from RNAcentral. Lineage: Eukaryota; Metazoa; Chordata; Lepidosauria; Squamata; Gekkonidae.